Molecule: long non-coding RNA, 401 nt
Filed under: Mustela putorius furo (domestic ferret)
Lineage: Eukaryota; Metazoa; Chordata; Mammalia; Carnivora; Mustelidae
Description: lncRNA (ENSMPUG00000030922.1)
Source: RNAcentral
GCUUUCCUGCAGCUUCAUGCUAGAGAAAGGAAUUUACAUUAGAAAAGAGAGAUUUAUGAUAGCAUUGAAUUUCCAUUUGAAUAUGGAGAGUUAAUAACAUGCAUAUGUUUUUUUAUUAUUAUUAUUUUAAGGUCUGAACGACGCCAUAGGCAAGGGGAAAGCUGGAAACUGCGGGGCUGGCAGGACUCAAUGAAUAAUUUAAUCUGGAUUUCAUUCACAAACAGCAGCAGCGCACUCCUAGGGAAAGGACCGGUGCGCUUCCCUAGAUCGGAACUGGAAGAGGGUACUGUAGGUGGAAAGAAGAAGGUUUAACUUUUGAGGAUUUCCUUCAACUCCUGCUUUGGAUUCUCUUCUACAACAAGCACCUAGGAAAUGAUCUGUGGACAAGUGUAAGUGAAGCA